UCGGGAAUUUUGGGCAAUGGGCGAAAGCCUGACCCAGCAACGCCGCGUGAGGGAUGAAGUAUUUCGGUAUGUAAACCUCGAAAGAAUGGGAAGAAUAAAUGACGGUACCAUUUAUAAGCUCCGGCUAACUACGUGCCAGCAGCCGCGGUAAUACGUAGGGAGCAAGCGUUGUUCGGAUUUACUGGGCGUAAAGGGCGCGUAGGCGGCGCGGUAAGUCACUUGUGAAAUCUCUGAGCUUAACUCGGAACGGCCAAGUGAUACUGCUGUGCUAGAGUGCGGAAGAGGCAACCGGAAUUCUUGGUGUAGCGGUGAAAUGCGUAGAUAUCAAGAGGAACACCUGAGGCGAAGGCGGGUUGCUGGGCCGACACUGACGCUGAUGCGCGAAAGCCAGGGGAGCAAAC
This 401-nucleotide ribosomal RNA is filed under the name uncultured bacterium. RNAcentral's name for it is "bacterial SSU rRNA". It matches the Rfam family "Bacterial small subunit ribosomal RNA", at positions 355 to 773 of the family's 1533-position model. The record is from RNAcentral.